UACGAAGGGAGCUAGCGUUGUUCGGAAUUACUGGGCGUAAAGGGCGCGUAGGCGGUUUAGCAAGUUGGACGUGAAAGCCCAGGGCUUAACCCUGGAAUUGCAUUCAAGACUGCUUCACUUGGAUUCGGUAGAGGUUGGUGGAAUUCCCAGUGUAGAGGUGAAAUUCGUAGAGAUUGGGAAGAACACCCGUGGCGAAGGCGGCCAACUGGACCGACAUUGACGCUGAGGCGCGAAAGCGUGGGGAUCAAACAGG
RNAcentral lists this ribosomal RNA (253 nucleotides) under uncultured bacterium. RNAcentral's name for it is "partial 16S ribosomal RNA". It matches the Rfam family "Bacterial small subunit ribosomal RNA", at positions 524 to 776 of the family's 1533-position model. The record is from RNAcentral.